Molecule: long non-coding RNA, 396 nt
Organism: Oryzias melastigma (Indian medaka)
Lineage: Eukaryota; Metazoa; Chordata; Actinopteri; Beloniformes; Adrianichthyidae
Exons: 2
Source: RefSeq, a predicted model, not a curated record
GUCCAUCUCCGCACCCGGUGUCCGUGCUUCCAGCACUCCCCGGAGACGACCAGGCACAAAAGCAGAACGGCAGCACCGCUCAGAUAAGGCAUCCUCCUGACGGCGCGGUUCCACAGGGUUGCAUCAUCUGGGAAUCCUUGUUCUGCACUGACGGGUCACCAAGACGUCUGUUGGGACAGAAGAGCCCCAAGACUUUCACUUCCAGCUCAGCUAUCGAUGUUCCAGCCACGCCAAUCAAGACAGAUUGCAUGCAAAAGUGUUCACUUUCCAACAGUCUCCGUGUUAUUUGCGGUGGAUUUUGCUGAUGAAGCUCCUCGGAUUCUCCUGGCUAUAAUUGGAGGUUUUAAUGAGGACACCACGGACUCCUGUAAAUCCCUUCAGGAAAACAAGAAAAAA